GCCCUAUAUUUGUGGUUUUAUUAACAUGGCCAAAUUUCGUAUUGGGGAUGAUAAUGAAGGAGGUGGUGCCACGUACGCAAAAUACAUUUGGAGUUCAACAUCUUGCACUGCAAUUUGUGGAAGUAACUUUGACGUCUGUGUUACGUAAGGUGAGAAUUGUGCGUCAAUGGGUGCUCUUUCGGCGGAGUGAUUGUGUGGAUUGUUGUCUUGAGGGUAAUCCUCAGACAUAGGCGAGUCAGUGCGACAGAGGCUCAACGGUGACCACUAGUACAAAAACUGUCUUUAAAUUAAUGGUUUUAUUUUUAGAUUCUAGUUUUUCUUGAGAGUUUGUAAAUUUUGAAACUCUCUGGACUGUUUGCUUUUGGUUUUGGUUUUGGAUGCGUUUUUAAAUUUUAUACUGCGAUGUUUGACAAAA
Molecule: long non-coding RNA, 415 nt
Organism: Gossypium raimondii (Peruvian cotton)
Lineage: Eukaryota; Viridiplantae; Streptophyta; Magnoliopsida; Malvales; Malvaceae
Exons: 3
Source: RefSeq, a predicted model, not a curated record